This 164-nucleotide ribosomal RNA is filed under the name uncultured bacterium. RNAcentral's name for it is "partial 16S rRNA". It matches the Rfam family "Bacterial small subunit ribosomal RNA", at positions 355 to 511 of the family's 1533-position model. The record is from RNAcentral.
UAGGGAAUCUUCGGCAAUGGACGAAAGUCUGAUCCAGCCAUGCCGCGUGUGUGAAGAAGGUCUUCGGAUUGUAAAGCACUUUAAGUUGGGAGGAAGGGCAGUAAGUUAAUACCUUGCUGUUUUGACGUUACCGACAGAAUAAGCACCGGCUAACUCUGUGUCAG